RNAcentral lists this long non-coding RNA (474 nucleotides) under Elaeis guineensis (African oil palm). RNAcentral describes it as "long non-coding RNA (EGUI_LNC048699)". Lineage: Eukaryota; Viridiplantae; Streptophyta; Magnoliopsida; Arecales; Arecaceae. The record is from RNAcentral.
CCUCAUGUUAAGAUGCAAAGAGUAGACUCCGUGAAAAAUAUGACAGACCCACUGACUAAGCAGUUGAGCCAAUCCAAAAAUGGAAGUCCACCUUGAAAAGAUGGGACUUAAAUUUAUGGCCAAUUGGUUUUAGUCCAAGUGGAAGAUUGUUAUAUGUAUGUCCUAGAAGCCAAUAUGGCUGACAUAUUGUAAUAUUUUUAGAGCACAAUUUUUGUACUUAAUAUAUUGAUAUAAUCAAUAAAAGGAGCAAGUUCUUUUUCAUUCAAGUGUAACGUGUCUUUGAAUCGUCCAUGAAAUUAGUUUCGAUACAUAUUCUCAAAGUGUUAAGAAUUAGAGAUAUGUAUUUAAUUCCUAAAGGCUUUCGGUCAUAGGAUCAUCAUGAGGACGAUGAUAGAUCCAGAUAGACUGACACAUAAAUCACUUUCUUUGGAAUAGAUGGGUCUCUAAUCUACUGUAUAGAGACACAGGGCGAUA